ACUAGCGCGGUUGUCCCACCUGACCCCAUGCCGAACUCAGAAGUGAAACGCCGUAGCGCCGAUGGUAGUGUGGGGUCUCCCCAUGCGAGAGUAGGGAACUGCCAGGC
This 107-nucleotide ribosomal RNA is filed under the name Salmonella enterica subsp. enterica serovar Enteritidis. The record is from RNAcentral. Lineage: Bacteria; Pseudomonadati; Pseudomonadota; Gammaproteobacteria; Enterobacterales; Enterobacteriaceae.